UAGAGCACCUGGGCUCUCAAUUGAUUUGGUUCCAAGGACCCCUUUUGGGGGAGAGAAUUUUGCAUCACUUGUCAAACAUUUCUUCACAUUCAUCAGCCUGCUGCCUGACAAAUAAGUGAAACUAAGGAGCAGUCGGAAUGGUUCUUUAUGACCUAAGUGAAUUCUUUCAAGUGAUGAUGGUAUCGUAUGACACUAAUCCUAGAAUUCGCCAGCAGAAAAACAGUGUUGUUCUGGGAGACGUGCAGGAAUCCCAUCACAGCCACUCACAGCCCAUCCCAGACGUGUGUCAUCCUCACUCUCCUUCUGAUAGCAGUCCAGACUCUCUGA
Long non-coding RNA from Alosa alosa (allis shad), 327 nucleotides. RefSeq lists it as uncharacterized. The transcript has 4 exons. The record is from RefSeq and is a predicted model, not a curated record. Lineage: Eukaryota; Metazoa; Chordata; Actinopteri; Clupeiformes; Clupeidae.